UCCCUGGUAGCUCAGAGGGUAAAGCAUCUGCCUGCAGUGCAGGAGACCCAGGGUCAAUCCCUGGGUCGGGAA
This is a non-coding RNA of Bos taurus (domestic cattle), 72 nucleotides long. Lineage: Eukaryota; Metazoa; Chordata; Mammalia; Artiodactyla; Bovidae. The record is from Rfam.